GAUGAACGCUGGCGGCGUGCCUAAUACAUGCAAGUCGAGCGAACGGACGAGAAGCUUGCUUUUCUGAUGUUAGCGGCGGACGGGUGAGUAACACGUGGAUAACCUACCUAUAAGACUGGGAUAACUUCGGGAAACCGGAGCUAAUACCGGAUAAUAUUUUGAACCGCAUGGUUCAAAAGUGAAAGACGGUCUUGCUGUCACUUAUAGAUGGAUCCGCGCUGCAUUAGCUAGUUGGUAAGGUAACGGCUUACCAAGGCAACGAUGCAUAGCCGACCUGAGAGGGUGAUCGGCCACACUGGAACUGAGACACGGUCCAGACGACUACGGAAGGCAGCAGUAGGGAAUCUUCCGCAAUGGGCGAAAGCCUAACGGAGCAACGCAGCGUGAGUGAUGAAGGUAUUCGGAUCGUAAAACUCUGUUAUUAGGGAAGAACAUAUGUGUAAGUAACUGUGCACAACUUGACGGUACCUAAUCAGAAAGCCACGGCUGACUACGUG
RNAcentral lists this ribosomal RNA (497 nucleotides) under uncultured bacterium. Its description in RNAcentral is "partial 16S ribosomal RNA". It matches the Rfam family "Bacterial small subunit ribosomal RNA", at positions 28 to 507 of the family's 1533-position model. The record is from RNAcentral.